AUACGGUGGCGUGUGUACGGGUCGGCACCACCUGAAAAUUCUCUCUCUUUAUAUCUCUCUCAAUUAUGGUGGCGGUGUGGUUGGUGGUUUUCAUCGGAAAUUUCUCUCUCUGUCUCAAAUCUGGAGGUGGUAUUGGAGUUCGCCGGAGAACAGAACUCCGAUGAUGGUUGGUGGUUGCUGCUAUUGUCGUUGGUGGUGUUGGAGUUAGUUUUUGUAUAAUAGUGUAUAAUAUACAAACCUCUUAUACACUAUUAUACAUUUUUAUACACCUAUAUACAUAAUGUAUAUGUCCGGUAUAAUAGUGCAAUUCUUAUUCAAAACAGUCCAGAUCUAUGUUUAUACCUACUUAUGCAAUAUUGUAUAAUUGUGUAUAAGAGCAUAUUUUUGUGUAUAAUAUUGUAUAAGUAUAUUUUUCGUGUAUAUACCUAUACAUAUACAAUAUUUUAUAAUUGUGUAUAAGUGCAUAUUUUCGUAUAUAAUAUUGUAUAAGUAUAUUUUUUAGUGUAUAUACCUACACAUUGUAUAAUUGUGUAUAAGUGCGUAUUUUCGUGUAUAAUAUUGUGUAAUUAUAUUUUUUAGAUUGUACACCUUCAAAACCUAUAUACAUAAUGUACCUGUCUUUUAUAUACAAGUAUAUAACACUGUAUAAAAGUGUUUUGGGUUAAAGCUUUGCAAUGUGAGUUUUGAGUUAUUUUUUGGCAAUGUAAGUGAGCAAAAUGUAUAUUUAUGAAAUUUCCCCUAUUUUAAGUUCUUCUUCAACCCAAUCAAUAUAUAUGCAUUCCAAAUAUACUUUGGGAUCAAAGGGGUUGAUAACUUUGAACCAAAGAACAAUUGUUCUUCUUUGAAACCUCCAUUACUCUAUUUGAGGUAAUACAUGGAACUUCCCCUUUACUUUCUUAGGAUAUCUACUAAGUUGCUCGGACUCGGGUGCGGAUAUCCGAUACGGGUACUGAUUCGAGGGUCAGAUUCGGCAAAACCUAAAUAUUAGGAUUCAGGGUGAGGAUCCAUGUAUGGAUACGAGUGUUAGGAUUCAGAUAAGAAAAUUCAAAAAUAUGAAAAUAGAGCACAACCCCUUGAAUUCUUGGUUUCUCUCUGUUUGACGAAAACAUGAAGCAGUGAAUAUGAGACAAAAGUACUACAAUAUUGAAGGUAUACCAUUUACCAUGUCUUAAAUCUAUUUUUUCUUUUAUUUUUGAGAAAUUAAAAUCUCAAUUCCCCCCCCCCCCCCCCCCCAAAUUUGUCGAUGGACUGCGGUCAAAAUAUUCGAAGUUGGUUGACCGAAUCCGAAACGUAUCCGCACCCAUCAAGUCUCAUGUCGAGACAGGUUCGGAAUAAAAAAUGAAGAGCCCACGCAACUUAGGAUAUCUAUAUAUGUAUAUAUCCUGAAUAUCUAUUAGCAGCAGUAUGUACUAUCUUUGAUGUAUAGAAAAGCUCUCUGUAUAUUGCAGGAGUAGAUGAGGAUUUCAAAGAGCAAAUCUUUGGCUGAUAUGAAUCUAUCACUAGGUGAUCUACCAUUUAAAUACCUAGGAGUUCCCUUAUAAACUGGGAAAUUAUCUAUAUAUUAAUGCUUGCCACUAGUUGAAAAGAUGAUCUCCAGGAUCAAGUGACGGUCUUCAAAGCUAUUAUCCUACAGUGGUAGACUACAACUAGUGAAGAGUGUGUUGUUUGAAAUGCAAACCUAUUGGGCACACAUAUUUUUACUACCAAAGAAGAUCAUAUCGAUGGUAACAUCUGGUUGUAGGACCUUUCUUUGGACUGGGAGUAACAACUGCUCAAGAAAAGCAUUAGUAGCCUGGGAAAAGAUAUGCAGACCUAAAAUAGCAGGGGGACUGAAUGUUAUUGACAUGUUAACUUGGAAUAGAGCAGCAAUCUGCAAAUUACUUUGGCCUGUGGAACAAAAGAAAGACAAAUUGUGGGUUCUAUGGGUACAUACUUUCUAUGUAAAAUCCCAAGAUUUGAGUCAAAUGGAAACACCAAAGCAAGCUUGCUGGUUACUCCGGAAGGUGAUUGAUGCAAGGAAGUGUCUCACUAGUAAUGAUUCCUCACACAACUCUCUACACCAAAUGACAUACAAAGGAGAAUUCAGCAUAAAAA
This is a long non-coding RNA of Lycium ferocissimum, 2094 nucleotides long. RefSeq lists it as uncharacterized. NCBI's taxonomy places the organism in Eukaryota, Viridiplantae, Streptophyta, Magnoliopsida, Solanales, Solanaceae. The transcript has 2 exons. The record is from RefSeq and is a predicted model, not a curated record.